CCUCCGUUCUUCUGCCGUUUUUGCUAUUUUCCCCUUUUUUUCCCCCUGCUCCCGCGCCGCCGCGUGAGUGAAGAAGUAUUUCGGUAUGUAAAGCUCUAUCAGCAGGGAAGAAAGAAAUGACGGUACCUGACCAAGAAGCACCGGCUAACUACGUGCCAGCCGCCGCGGUAAUACGUAGGGGGCAAGCUUUAUCCGGAAAUACUGGGUGUAAAGGGAGCGUAGACGGUUAAGUAAGUCUGGAGUGAAAGGCCGGGGCUCAACCCCGGGACUGCUCUGGAAACUAUUUAACUUGAGUGCAGGAGAGGUCAGCGGAAUUCCUAGUGUAGCGGUGAAAUGCGUAGCUAUUAGGAGGAACACCAGUGGCGAAGGCGGCUUACUGGACUGUAACUGACGUUGAGGCUCGAAAGCGUGGGGAGCAAACAGGAUUAGAUACCCUUGUAGUC
Molecule: ribosomal RNA, 443 nt
Filed under: uncultured bacterium
Lineage: Bacteria
Description: partial 16S ribosomal RNA
Rfam family: Bacterial small subunit ribosomal RNA
Source: RNAcentral